UACGUAGGGGGCUAGCGUUGUCCGGAAUCAUUGGGCGUAAAGAGCGUGUAGGCGGUCCGGUAAGUCCGCUGUGAAAGUCGGGGGCUCAACCCUCGAAUGCCGGUGGAUACUGUCGGGCUAGAGUGCGGAAGAGGCGAGUGGAAUUCCUAGUGUAGAGGUGAAAUUCGUAGAUAUUAGGAAGAACACCAGUGGCGAAGGCGGCUCACUGGCCCGGUACUGACGCUGAGGCGCGAAAGCGUGGGGAGCAAACAGG
Molecule: ribosomal RNA, 253 nt
Filed under: uncultured bacterium
Lineage: Bacteria
Description: partial 16S ribosomal RNA
Rfam family: Bacterial small subunit ribosomal RNA
Source: RNAcentral